Cinara cedri is the source of this 763-nucleotide non-coding RNA. NCBI's taxonomy places the organism in Eukaryota, Metazoa, Arthropoda, Insecta, Hemiptera, Aphididae. The record is from the annotation of a GenBank genome assembly.
GUUGAAAAUGUAUUAUUCGCAACCGAUCUACGACGAAACCUCUUAUCAGCUAAAAUUAGCUGGAAGGCUGGUAUGAAAAUUUAUUAUGAUCUGCUCGAUGAGGAUCAUCAACAAGGGCACAGCAAUCAACGUGGGAUCAAUGGAAGGUAAUCUAAAUUUUUACUAACAUUUACAGUGCCGGCAUAAGGUUUUGCGGGGCCCGGUGUGAUCUUAUAAUUUGGUUUAGCUGUAAAACCAUAAUUGUGCAAAAAUCAAAACAUUUUACAAAGCACCAUUUAUAUUACAUUAUAAAUCUUUAAAGUAAUUUAUAAACUUUAUAAGUUAAGCUUAUAUAGGAUAAUGGUAAAAUUUUCAAAAUAAUUAAGCCAUUUUUAACUGUCGUUUUAAUUUUGACAGUUUUUGCGUAAUUUUUAUUUGGUAAGUACUCUGUGAAUAAAAUUUUUAGGUUAAUAGAAAUGCUUGAACAUUUAACGAAAGGUUCAUUACAAGUCGUAAAAUAUUACAAUAUUUUUUAUUUAUAAGAGUUUUAAUAAUUUUAUGAAUCUCAACUUCCAACCUACAACAGCGGCACACCCGUCUCCCAGUUUUAGCUCUGUUUUUCUUAAAAUAUACAUAAGUAAUUUUUGGUAUUAAAAUUUGAUUAAGGGUCACAUCGAAAUCUAUUGCAGGCCACAGCUUUAACGAUCGACGACGGUGUACACUUAGGCCAGUCUGACCUUUCACGAGUAACAAAAAACAAAGCUAUGCAAGAAAAUAAAUGAGC